RNAcentral lists this ribosomal RNA (1011 nucleotides) under Triticum aestivum (bread wheat). Its description in RNAcentral is "partial small subunit ribosomal RNA". The record is from RNAcentral. Lineage: Eukaryota; Viridiplantae; Streptophyta; Magnoliopsida; Poales; Poaceae.
AUGGCGACGUAUGAUGCCAUGAGUGACUUGUGCCACCAUAUUGAGAGUGAGAGUGACUUCACCACUAGCCCCACAUAUGAUGUGUUGCCCCAAUUCCCAUGUGAGGAGAGCCACAGCCCCCACAACUUUAGCGAGAUGAGUGACUCCACCAUAUGUGACUUUGAGUGCACCUAUUUUGAGGGAGUGAGUGAACCACCACAUAGAGAGAGAGUGAUAGUUGAUAGGUCUCGUGAGGCCAUUUGCAUUUCUAACAACUUGACCUCUACCUUUAUUGUGUCUUCUCAUUUUGUGCUAGGUCCCAUUUAUGAUGACAUGCCGAUCCUCUAUGACUUCGUCCUUCCUUUGGACACGACGAUGGCCAUGGUGGAAUAUGAUGCACCCCCAACAUGCUUCCAUCAAGAUGAAGAUGACCAACAUUUGGUCUUUCCCACCUCACCUACACCACAUGAGUGGAAUGACAACGGUAACAUAGGUGACGGUGAUGCUCUAGUCCCAUUAGUGGAAAUUCUUGACACUGAUUGCUUGCAUGAAGUUGAUCCACCUAGUACCAUGCUUCAUGCUAGUAUGAUUUCCCCAUGCGAUGAUUUGCCCAUUUAUGAUGAGUAUGAUGAUUCUCAUGUGGAGUCUAUUAGUUGUGAUGCCAUGUUACAUAGGAUUUCCUGUGACAAUUCUUUAGGUCACAUCAUGUUUGAUAAUCCGCUUGACUUGUCAUAUGCCAUGCAUGAGAUCAACCAUAUGUCUUAUUUGCAAUCUCAUCGUAGUGACUAUGCAUAUUCCAUUAAAAUAAACCCAAUUUACACAUAUGACAUAGAUGACAAGCCCAUGGUUAUUGGCAUUUGUUUUUCUUGUGAUGAUAUUGAUAUGCUCCCUUUGCAUCAUUUAUCUCAUAUGCCAUGCCAUGACCACCUAACUUCGGAUAUGCAUUGUUUUGGAUGUUGUCCAUUUUCUCAAUAUGAUAUUUCCGCUAUUGCUCAUGAGGAUACCCCCAUAGUUUCCUCGUACAUUUUUUGA